RNAcentral lists this ribosomal RNA (651 nucleotides) under uncultured bacterium. RNAcentral's name for it is "bacterial SSU rRNA". It matches the Rfam family "Bacterial small subunit ribosomal RNA", at positions 68 to 737 of the family's 1533-position model. The record is from RNAcentral.
GAUUAAAGCACCUUCGGGUGUGUAUAGAGUGGCGGACGGGUGAGUAACACGUGACCAACCUGCCUCUUACAUUGGGACAACCAAAAGAAAUUCUGGCUAAUACCAAAUACUCCGCACAUAUCACAUGAUGUAUGCGGGAAAGCUUUUGCGGUAAGAGAUGGGGUCGCGGCCCAUUAGGUAGACGGCGGGGUAGAAGCCCACCGUGCCGAUGAUGGGUAGCCGGGUUGAGAGACCGACCGGCCACAUUGGGACUGAGAUACGGCCCAGACUCCUACGGGAGGCAGCAGUGGGGAAUAUUGCGCAAUGGGGGAAACCCUGACGCAGCAACGCCGCGUGCGGGAUGAAGGCCUUCGGGUUGUAAACCGCUUUCAGCAGGGAAGACAUCGACGGUACCUGCAGAAGAAGCCCCGGCUAACUACGUGCCAGCAGCCGCGGUAAUACGUAGGGGGCGAGCGUUAUCCGGAUUCAUUGGGCGUAAAGCGCGCGCAGGCGGUUGCUCAAGCGGAACCUCUAAUCUCGGGGCUUAACCUCGAGCCGGGUUCCGAACUGGACGACUCGAGUGCGGUAGAGGCAGAUGGAAUUCCCGGUGUAGCGGUGGAAUGCGCAGAUAUCGGGAAGAACACCAACGGCGAAGGCAGUCUGCUGGGCCGU